GAUGAACGCUGGCGGCGUGCUUAACACAUGCAAGUCGAACGAAGCACUUUAUUUGAUUUCCUUCGGGACUGAUUAUUUUGUGACUGAGUGGCGGACGGGUGAGUAACGCGUGGGUAACCUGCCUUGUACAGGGGGAUAACAGUUGGAAACGGCUGCUAAUACCGCAUAAGCGCACAGCAUCGCAUGAUGCAGUGUGAAAAACUCCGGUGGUAUAAGAUGGACCCGCGUUGGAUUAGCUAGUUGGUGAGGUAACGGCCCACCAAGGCGACGAUCCAUAGCCGACCUGAGAGGGUGACCGGCCACAUUGGGACUGAGACACGGCCCAAACUCCUACGGGAGGCAGCAGUGGGGAAUAUUGCACAAUGGGCGAAAGCCUGACGCAGCGACGCCGCGUGAGCGAAGAAGUAUUUCGGUAUGUAAAGCUCUAUCAGCAGGGAAGAUAAUGACGGUACCUGACUAAGAAGCACCGGCUA
This 473-nucleotide ribosomal RNA is filed under the name uncultured bacterium. RNAcentral's name for it is "bacterial SSU rRNA". It matches the Rfam family "Bacterial small subunit ribosomal RNA", at positions 28 to 499 of the family's 1533-position model. The record is from RNAcentral.